GUGCCAGCAGCCGCGGUAAUACGUAGCGUACGAGCGUUGUCCGGAAUUAUUGGGCGUAAAGAGCUCGUAGGUGGUUGGUCACGUCUGCUGUGGAAACGCAACGCUUAACGUUGCGCGUGCAGUGGGUACGGGCUGACUAGAGUGCAGUAGGGGAGUCUGGAAUUCCUGGUGUAGCGGUGAAAUGCGCAGAUAUCAGGAGGAACACCGGUGGCGAAGGCGGGACUCUGGGCUGUAACUGACACUGAGGAGCGAAAGCAUGGGGAGCGAACAGGAUUAGAUACCCUGGUAGUCCAUGCCGUAAACGUUGGGCACUAGAUGUGGGGGACAUUCCACGUUCUCCGCGCCGUACUAACGCAUUAAGUGCCCCGCCUGGGGAGUACGGUCGCAAGGCUAAAACUCAAAGGAAUUGACGGGGGCCCGCACAAGCGGCGGAGCAUGCGGAUUAAUUCGAUGCAACGCGAAGAACCUUACCAAGGCUUGACAUACACUGGAUCGUUCUGGAAGCAGUUCUUCUCUUUGGAGCUGGUGUACAGGUGGUGCAUGGUUGUCGUCAGCUCGUGUCGUGAGAUGUUGGGUUAAGUCCCGCAACGAGCGCAGCCCUCGUUCUAUGUUGCCAGCACGUGAUGGUGGGAACUCAUAGGAGACUGCCGGGGUCAACUCGGAGGAAGGUGGGGAUGACGUCAAAUCAUCAUGCCCUUUAUGUCUUGGGCUUCACGCAUGCUACAAUGGCUGGUACAGAGAGAGGCGAACCCGUGAGGUAAGCGAAUCCCUUAAAGCCAGUCUCAGUUCGAUCGUAGUCUGCAAUUCGACUACGUGAAGUCGGAGUCGCUAGUAAUCGCAGAUCAGCAACGCUGCGGGUGAAUACGUUCCCGGGCCUUGCACACACCGCCCGUC
Molecule: ribosomal RNA, 894 nt
Filed under: uncultured prokaryote
Description: bacterial SSU rRNA
Rfam family: Bacterial small subunit ribosomal RNA
Source: RNAcentral